This 413-nucleotide ribosomal RNA is filed under the name uncultured bacterium. RNAcentral's name for it is "bacterial SSU rRNA". It matches the Rfam family "Bacterial small subunit ribosomal RNA", at positions 505 to 916 of the family's 1533-position model. The record is from RNAcentral.
GUGUAAGCAGCUGCGGUAAUACGUAGGGGGCAAGCGUUGUCCGGAUUUAUUGGGCGUAAAGAGCGUGUAGGCGGCCAGACAGGUCCGUUGUGAAAACUCGAGGCUCAACCUCGAGACGCCGAUGGAAACCGUCUGGCUAGAGUCCGGAGGAGGAGAGUGGAAUUCCUGGUGUAGCGGUGAAAUGCGCAGAUAUCAGGAGGAACACCAAUGGCGAAGGCAGCUCGCUGGGACGUGACUGACGCUGAGACGCGAAAGCGUGGGGAGCAAACAGGAUUAGAUACCCUGGUAGUCCACGCCGUAAACGAUGGGUACUAGGUGAAUGGGGGAGCGACCCUCUGGGUGCCGGCGCUAACGCAGGAAGUACCCCGCCUGGGGAGUACGACCGCAAGGUUGAAACUCAAAGGAAUUGACGG